GUCUCCAUGGCGCAACUGGUUAGCGCGUCUGACUGUUAAUCAGGAGGUUGGCAGUUCAAUCCUGCCUGGGGACG
RNAcentral lists this transfer RNA (74 nucleotides) under Melampsora larici-populina 98AG31. Its description in RNAcentral is "tRNA-Asn (GTT) (tRNA-Asn-GTT-4-1, tRNA-Asn-GTT-4-2)". It matches the Rfam family "tRNA". From Rfam's summary of the family: Transfer RNA (tRNA) molecules are approximately 80 nucleotides in length. Their secondary structure includes four short double-helical elements and three loops (D, anti-codon, and T loops). The record is from RNAcentral. Lineage: Eukaryota; Fungi; Basidiomycota; Pucciniomycetes; Pucciniales; Melampsoraceae.